GGGAGCUUGCUCCCUGAUGUUAGCGGCGGACGGGUGAGUAACACGUGGGUAACCUGCCUGUAAGACUGGGAUAACUCCGGGAAACCGGGGCUAAUACCGGAUGGUUGUCUGAACCGCAUGGUUCAGACAUAAAAGGUGGCUUCGGCUACCACUUACAGAUGGACCCGCGGCGCAUUAGCUAGUUGGUGAGGUAACGGCUCACCAAGGCGACGAUGCGUAGCCGACCUGAGAGGGUGAUCGGCCACACUGGGACUGAGACACGGCCCAGACUCCUACGGGAGGCAGCAGUAGGGAAUCUUCCGCAAUGGACGAAAGUCUGACGGAGCAACGCCGCGUGAGUGAUGAAGGUUUUCGGAUCGUAAAGCUCUGUUGUUAGGGAAGAACAAGUGCCGUUCAAAUAGGGCGGCACCUUGACGGUACCUAACCAGAAAGCCACGGCUAACUACGUGCCAGCAGCCGCGGUAAUACGUAGGUGGCAAGCGUUGUCCGGAAUUAUUGGGCGUAAAGGGCUCGCAGGCGGUUUCUUAAGUCUGAUGUGAAAGCCCCCGGCUCAACCGGGGAGGGUCAUUGGAAACUGGGGAACUUGAGUGCAGAAGAGGAGAGUGGAAUUCCACGUGUAGCGGUGAAAUGCGUAGAGAUGUGGAGGAACACCAGUGGCGAAGGCGACUCUCUGGUCUGUAACUGACGCUGAGGAGCGAAAGCGUGGGGAGCGAACAGGAUUAGAUACCCUGGUAGUCCACGCCGUAAACGAUGAGUGCUAAGUGUUAGGGGGUUUCCGCCCCUUAGUGCUGCAGCUAACGCAUUAAGCACUCCGCCUGGGGAGUACGGU
This 829-nucleotide ribosomal RNA is filed under the name Bacillus sp. (in: firmicutes). Its description in RNAcentral is "bacterial SSU rRNA". It matches the Rfam family "Bacterial small subunit ribosomal RNA", at positions 74 to 886 of the family's 1533-position model. Lineage: Bacteria; Bacillati; Bacillota; Bacilli; Caryophanales; Bacillaceae. The record is from RNAcentral.